UGCAACUUCCAGAAAGUAAAAGUGACUCUGUCCGGAGUUCCAAUGGAUACAUCACGGGCUCCAAAAGAGGUUCUAAAAAGCAAAUUUGCCCGGUAGUUGUCCCUCUCCAUAGGCUACAGUUUCCUAGAGACAGGAAAGCAGGGUGCAUCGGCGUGCAGGCUUUUCUUGGAAAGUAACGAAGCAACCUGGGGCUGAGUUUAGAGACCUUAUGGGCAAGAGGUAGAACAUCAGCAUGUACAAGAUUCUGUUUGCCCCAUUAUUGGGUUACCGGAGUGCUGUAGUAAAAGCACAAAGGACACUGCUGAGAACUGGCUGGAUCACACUGUCAGCCAAGAAAAGGAAGGACGAAUGAGGCUGAAGAGACUGCAGGGCUGCAGAUGAAAUAUCCAGACCUAUGCAUCCUCAUGUGGGAUGAGUGGGUUCCGGCAAAAUUUAAGAGGCUAAUGAUGGGAUGGAGGGGUUGGCAGCAGCACAGCAUAGCAGAAUUUUCUGAUUCACUACCACUGCUGGUGUUACAGCGUGAACGUGACCUGAAGACAAAAAGGCUGUACAGAAUCAUUGUCACUUCCACAGGAGGGGUUUCGGCGACGCGUGUAAGGGAACUUUGGCGACUUAGUGCGAUCACUGGGAGAAUUGUAGAGUCCACUGGAGAGAAAGAAAAAUGGUCAAAAAGAGCCCAGAGAGUUCCUGGGGGAAAACACACCGCAGCCCAGACCUAUUCAUAACUGCACAGCUGGUACUUCCAGAGGCACAUGCACCAGGGGCACGUGGUUCUCUUUGCUGACAAGAUUUAUUAAAAGAAAAGAGGAAAGAACUAUUCUAAAAUGGACCCUCCCUCCAAAAAAGCCCAAACAGCCAAAGCAAUUCUAAGCAGAAAGAACAAAGCUGGAGGCAUCACACUACCUGACUUCAAACUGUACUACAAGGCUACAGUAACAAAAACAGCAUGGUAUGGUACAAAAACUGACAAAAAGACCAAUGCAAUAGGAUAGAGAACCCAGAAACAAAGUCAUACACCUACAACCAUCUGAUCUUCAACAAAAGCAACUAGAACAAGCAAUGGGGAAAGGACUCCCUAAAUGGUGCUGGGAUGGCCAGUCAUAUGCAGAAGAGUGAAACUGGACCUCUUCCUUUUACUAUAUUCAAAAAUCCACUCAAGAUAGAUUAAGAACUUAAAUGUAAGACCUCAAACUAUGAAAAUACAUCUUAGAAGAAAACCUAGGAAAUAUCAUUCUGGACAUCAGCCUUGGUGAAGAAUUUAUAACUAAGUCCCCAAAAGCAAUUGCAACAAAACCAAAAAUUGACAAGUGAGACUUUAAAGAGCUUCUGCACAACAAAAGAAACUAUCAACAGAGUAAACAGACAAUCUACAGAAAAGGAGAAAAUAUUCACAAACUAUGUAUCUGACAAAGGUCUAAUAUCCAGAAUCUAUAAGGAACUUCAACAAUUCAACAAGAUGAAACAAACAAUGCCAUUAAAAAAUGGGCAAAGGACAUCAACAGGCACUUUUCCAAAGAAGACAUACAUGCAACCAACAAAUACAUGAAAAAAUGCUCAACAUCAUUAAUCAUUCGAAAAAAGCAAAUUAAAAUCACAAUAAGACACCAUCUCCCCAGUCAGAAUACCUAUUAUUAAAAAGACAAAAAAUAAAGAUGUUGGCAAGAUUGUGGAAAAAAGGGAACACUUUUACACUGUUGGGGGAAAUAUAAAUUAGCUCAGCCAUUGUGGAAAGCAGUUUGGAGAUUUCUCAAAGAACUUAAAACAGAACCACCAUUUGAUCCAACAAUUCCACUACUGGAUAUAUACUCAAAGGGAAACAAAUCAUUCUACAAAAAAAGACAUAUGGCUGGGCGCAAUGGCUCACACCUGUAAUCCCAGCACUUUGGGAUGCCAAGGCAGGCGGAUCCCGAGGUCAAGAGAUGCAGACCAUCCUGGCCAACCUGGUAAAACCCCAUCUCUACCAAACCUACAAAAAUUAGCUGGGAGUGGUGGCACACGCCUGUAGUCCCAGCUACUUGGGAGGCUGAGGCAGGAGAAUCGCUUGAACCCAGGAUGCGGAGGUUGCAGUGAGUCAAGAUGGUGCCACUCCACUCCAUCCUGGCAACAGAGGGAGACUCCAUCUCAAAAAAAAAAAAAAAAAAAGACACAUACACUUACAUGCUCAUUGCAGCACUAUUCACAAUAGCAAGGACAUAGAAUCAGCCUAGAUGACCAUGAACAGUGGACUGGAUAAAGCAAAUAUGGAACAUAUACACCAUGGAAUACUACACAGCCAUAAAAAAGAAUGAAACCAUGUCCUUUGCGGCAACACGGACGCAACUGGAGGCUAUUAUCCUAAGUUAAUUAACACAGAAACAGAAAACUAGAUACUGCAUGUUCUCACUUAUAAGUGGGAACUAAACAUUGAGUACACAUGGACAUAAAGAUGGGAACAAUAGACACUGGGGACCACUAGAGGAGGAGAGGGGGCAAGGGUUGAAAACUACCUAUCACGUACUGUGCUCACUACCUGAGUGAUGGGAUCAUGCAUACACCAAACCUCAGUGAUAAACAAUUUACCCAUGUGACAAACCUACUGGCACACGUACCCCUGGACCUAAAAUAAAAGUUGAAAAAAUAAAUUUUUAAAAGGAGGAUUGUACUCCUUCUGCACAUUCUAAAAAAGCGUGGGAUCUGAAUCUCAUGGAAGAUUCCUGUUCUUAUGCUGAACAUACCACAAGCAUACCCUGUACAUACAGAUGAAGCUGAAUCUCUAUCCACAGCUUGAGGGUGACUAAGGGAAAUACAGUAAACUAAAGUUAUGCAAUGAUAAAGAACUUGUCAUCCUAAAAGGAGAACCAGUAAAUGUCUUAGAACCAAACAAAACAUAGGCAAAUCCCUGCGUAAAAUAUUAAAACUCUGAGAAUCUUCAGAUCUUAAAGUUAUCUUGCUGAGAAAUUAUGAACUAUACUCCUCAAAGUAGCCACAAUACAGCUGAAUGAAGCCACU
RNAcentral lists this long non-coding RNA (2988 nucleotides) under Homo sapiens (human). RNAcentral describes it as "HSALNT0092850". Lineage: Eukaryota; Metazoa; Chordata; Mammalia; Primates; Hominidae. The record is from RNAcentral.